This 169-nucleotide ribosomal RNA is filed under the name uncultured bacterium. RNAcentral describes it as "partial 16S ribosomal RNA". It matches the Rfam family "Bacterial small subunit ribosomal RNA", at positions 338 to 524 of the family's 1533-position model. The record is from RNAcentral.
CCUACGGGAGGCAGCAGUGGGGAAUUUUGCGCAAUGGGGGAAACCCUGACGCAGCAACGCCGCGUGAAGGAUGAAGUCCUUCGGGACGUAAACUCCUUUCGAUCGGGACGAUUAUGACGGUACCGGAAGAAGAAGCCCCGGCUAACUUCGUGCCAGCAGCCGCGGUAAU